Molecule: long non-coding RNA, 654 nt
Organism: Pogoniulus pusillus (Red-fronted tinkerbird)
Lineage: Eukaryota; Metazoa; Chordata; Aves; Piciformes; Lybiidae
Exons: 3
Source: RefSeq, a predicted model, not a curated record
GUGGCUCAUUAGCCAGGAACCAAGGCUGCCACAUGUAUGCAGCUCACACCCACCAGCUUAGCAGCAGCUCAGCUCUCCUUCCCUCUGCCUGGAAUAUUUAAUAUUUUACCCUGGGAUCAUUAUCGUGAGUUUGAAAACAUCUUUGAUACAGGAGACUUACUGAGGGGCCAAAAGCAUCAGAUGUACUUGGUAAUGCUUCAUCAGUGCUUCUGUUGCUGCUGCUCCAGUGGAAGCAGGAAGUCUUUUUGCAGUAUUUGUCAGUUCCCCAGGUCAGUCACUCCAAGACUGUUCCUGAGCACUUUGCCUGUUUGCACAGUGUGUUGUGUGAACAUGAACAGAGACACUGGCAGGGAGAUCCACAGGUCCUCUGUGGGGAAUAUAUUCCCCAUGCUUGUAAAAGAGGAAAGAAUAACUGAAGAAAACACUCUAAUGUUGGAUCUUGUUGAAUAGGAAUCACAUCUCUCUGCCUAAAUUUGCUAUAAAUGUGUAGUUUUGUAGAUCUGCCCCAAGCUUUUAAAGGGGUUCUGUUUCUCUCAAGAGUUUCAAGGUGUAAAUGCUAAAACCACCAAAGCAAGGCAGUGUUACAGAAUGUAUUGUCUGUGCUUGCAUUUGUCCAGUGAGCUUGCAUUAAAUACACUGGGUCCCUGUAGCAUC